This 521-nucleotide ribosomal RNA is filed under the name Saccharomyces cerevisiae (brewer's yeast). RNAcentral's name for it is "partial large subunit ribosomal RNA". It matches the Rfam family "Eukaryotic large subunit ribosomal RNA", at positions 86 to 610 of the family's 3401-position model. Lineage: Eukaryota; Fungi; Ascomycota; Saccharomycetes; Saccharomycetales; Saccharomycetaceae. The record is from RNAcentral.
ACGGCGAGUGAAGCGGCAAAAGCUCAAAUUUGAAAUCUGGUACCUUCGGUGCCCGAGUUGUAAUUUGGAGAGGGCAACUUUGGGGCCGUUCCUUGUCUAUGUUCCUUGGAACAGGACGUCAUAGAGGGUGAGAAUCCCGUGUGGCGAGGAGUGCGGUUCUUUGUAAAGUGCCUUCGAAGAGUCGAGUUGUUUGGGAAUGCAGCUCUAAGUGGGUGGUAAAUUCCAUCUAAAGCUAAAUAUUGGCGAGAGACCGAUAGCGAACAAGUACAGUGAUGGAAAGAUGAAAAGAACUUUGAAAAGAGAGUGAAAAAGUACGUGAAAUUGUUGAAAGGGAAGGGCAUUUGAUCAGACAUGGUGUUUUGUGCCCUCUGCUCCUUGUGGGUAGGGGAAUCUCGCAUUUCACUGGGCCAGCAUCAGUUUUGGUGGCAGGAUAAAUCCAUAGGAAUGUAGCUUGCCUCGGUAAGUAUUAUAGCCUGUGGGAAUACUGCCAGCUGGGACUGAGGACUGCGACGUAAGUCAAC